Benincasa hispida (wax gourd) is the source of this 854-nucleotide long non-coding RNA. RefSeq lists it as uncharacterized. The record is from RefSeq and is a predicted model, not a curated record. NCBI's taxonomy places the organism in Eukaryota, Viridiplantae, Streptophyta, Magnoliopsida, Cucurbitales, Cucurbitaceae.
UAUUUGGAGAAGAUAGCAGUUAGUGAAGGAGCUUUGAAGAAUUUCUACAAGAGGUAAUAUUUGUAUACCCAUCGACCCUGAACACUGAUGAGUUUGAUCUUACCACUGUGCCAACUGUUGCCUAGAACCUAGAAGAACUUAAUACAGCAGACAUAGAAGUAGAUAGUGAAACUGGUACAUGAUAUUCAAUCUUUACUGAAUAUUGUGAUUAACCAAUGUUGCGUUAGGAUUACUGAAUAUUGUGAUUAACCAAUGUUGUUAUAAUCUUUUGCUUUAUGACAGACUGGGAUAGGAUAACUGAAUACAAAUUGUGAUAUUUGUUUGGAUUGAUGGAAUUUUGAACUUUGUUGAGUUUUUGUUUUUUGGCUUUUCAUUUCAUUGAUAGGAACUGAGUCCAUGAAUUUGGAGGUAUAAGAUCGAAUGCCCGUGUGACAAUUUUUGAGAUUUGAAGUCAAGUGAGUAAUCAGAUCCGACUUUUUGUAAAUCAUUGUUGUUUCUGUUGUUUGUUCUGUUGAGAGAAGAUUGUUGUUUGAAUAUUGUUGGAAGUGCAUUUCUUUGUACAGGUGUUAAAGUAAAAAUUUUUUGUAUUGUUGUGGUAAUGUUGUUAUGUUGCCAAAUUUUUUUCUAAAAUAUCAGAGUUAUAAAGUUAGUUAUAGGUUAAAAUAGGUAAUGUUCCUUAGUUUAGUAUUGAAAUUUGGGAUCAUUACAAUGACUAUUGUGCAGCUAUGGAAGUUGUUUAUGGGUUGAAUUCAUUUCUUUCGUUAUUUAUAAAUUGCUUAUACUAACACAACUUAUAUUUAUUUGUUUAUACUCUCAAUGACAUCGCUCGCGCGAGUAUAGGGAGGUUCUGGAUA